GUAGAUAUAACUCAGUGGUAGAGCGCAUGCUUAUCAUGCAUGAGGUCCUGAGUUCAGUUCCCAGUACCCCCA
RNAcentral lists this transfer RNA (72 nucleotides) under Camelus bactrianus (Bactrian camel). It matches the Rfam family "tRNA". From Rfam's summary of the family: Transfer RNA (tRNA) molecules are approximately 80 nucleotides in length. Their secondary structure includes four short double-helical elements and three loops (D, anti-codon, and T loops). The record is from Rfam by way of RNAcentral. Lineage: Eukaryota; Metazoa; Chordata; Mammalia; Artiodactyla; Camelidae. RNAcentral also lists the same sequence under 2 other names.